CCUACGGGAGGCAGCAGUGGGGAAUAUUGGACAAUGGGCGAAAGCCUGAUCCAGCAAUGCCGCGUGAGUGAUGAAGGCCUUAGGGUUGUAAAGCUCUUUUACCCGGGAUGAUAAUGACAGUACCGGGAGAAUAAGCUCCGGCUAACUCCGUGCCAGCAGCCGCGGUAAUACGGAGGGAGCUAGCGUUAUUCGGAAUUACUGGGCGUAAAGCGCACGUAGGCGGCUUUGUAAGUAAGAGGUGAAAGCCUGGUGCUCAANACCNGAACUGCCUUUUAGACUGCAUCGCUUGAAUCCAGGAAGGUNAUGGAAUUCCGAGUG
This 318-nucleotide ribosomal RNA is filed under the name uncultured bacterium. RNAcentral's name for it is "bacterial SSU rRNA". It matches the Rfam family "Bacterial small subunit ribosomal RNA", at positions 338 to 675 of the family's 1533-position model. The record is from RNAcentral.